AUUUACCAGCCCUUUUUGUUCUUUAAACUUGUAAUGGUGUUAUGUUUUACACAUGAAAUGCAGCUGUACGGCUCUCAUCCUGAUUAUACUUUCUUAGUAUUUGCAGGAUCUUGAGAGUAUAUUUUAUUAUCUGUUUUUUGUUUACUUCCUUUUAUUCAUUUUAAAUUUAUGGAGUUUGAUCUUUUUUGUUUCGUAUUGAUGUCAAAGUGGAUGUAUUUCUGCUUCUGCAGGCCACCGCCAAUUUAGUUCCUAUCAAUGCAAAGAGAGUUGCUGUUAAAUUUGAUUCUUUCAAGAUAGCUGGUGUGAUACCCAUAAAUGCACGAGGGAGUGGCCGUGGCCAAAUAGAAAUCACAUAUCUUGAUAAAGAUCUACGGAUAACAAGGGGUAACCAAGGAAACCUAUUCAUUCUUAGAAUGGUCGAUCCGUCCUAUAGAGUUCCCAUUUAGAAUAGCUUCAGAUGUGGUUAUUCCUCACAACUUGUUUGGAAUCAGUUCCUCGAGGUUUCAGAGUGAUGCAGAGGCUGCAGAUGCAUAUAAUAUGAGCUUGCUUGUAUGUACUGUUGCAUCGGGAUAUAAGAAGAGCAACCUCGCUAGCCAACUUAGGAAAAAUGAAGAUGUAUAAAUGAAGAUGUAUAGCAUGAACAAUUGGUGCACUGCUAUAUUCUGUAUCUUAGUCUGCACUGCUCUGUUACUAGAAUCUGAAUUUUUUUAUGCUAUAAAAUAGGAAAGCGUAUAAACAUACUGUCUGUCUUUGUUCUCUGAUUCAACAAAAAGUUACAAACUCCGAAAGCAAUGUCUUUGUUCUCUGAUUCAACUAAAAGUUACAAACUGCGAAAGCUCCUACUCUCUUUGGCUGGCACCUCUGUUCUUGGCCAAAAAAGGCCAAGGCAAUAGUGCAAAACCAAGGCGACACUCAAAGACCCAGGCAGCAAGCUACCUUGGUGGAUCUUUCCCCUUAAAAAAUUGAGUUAAUAUCGUGUGAGCCAAUGGCUCACGUAUCAGAUAUUAAACUGAUAAGAACAGAUACUACACUUGAUCUUAGCCAAAAGGCCGAGAAAGGUAUGAUUUUUCUAAUUGACAGUCCACUAAUUUUAUAGUACUCAUGCACCUUUACAUGCCUUCUGCAUUAUCAAUGUGGGACUUGAGCAAACAGUGGGUAACAUUAAGUUGUAGUGCUGAUUGCUACAAGUUAUGAAACUUAGUAAAAAAUAGUUAAGCCUAGUCGCAUUACCGUGCAACUAAUAGUAGUGAUCUUGUCAGCAUUUCAACUCCUUACAAUGAUAUCCUCAAUUGGAUAGUCAAUUUUUCAUUCUUCCAAGCAUUCGAGAAAGACAUGCUUUUUACACAUCAUUAUUAUCUCAUUAGAAUUCUAUUAAGUCAAAUUCACAGUGUGUAAUUUUAUAUGCCAACCAAUGUAUGUAUGUAUGUGCAUAUAUAUAUAAUUACACAAUGCAAUAAAAAUGUCAAACUAGAGUUGGUGGGGUGUGCCAGGCCAAGGCAAUAGUGCAGAACCAAGGCGACACUCAAAGGCCCAGGUAGCAAGCUACCUUAGUGGGCCGUUCCCCUAAAAAAAUUGAGUUAAUAUCAUGUGGGCCAUUGACCCAAGUAUCAGAUAUUAAACUGAUAAGAACAGAUACUACACUUGAUCUUAGCCAAAAGGCCGAGAAAGGUAUGCUUUAAUUAGUGGACAGCCUACCUGUUUUAUAUUGCUCAUGCACUUGCACAUGCUUUCUACAUUUUCAAUGUGGGACACAAAGGGAAUGUGGGAAAUUUGAAUAUGCACUGCUAGUUAAUCUUUAAUAUUCUAAAAGAUAAAUUUUUGGGAGAUUAUGUUCACAGACUAGUUUAUUAUUAUGAAUUAAAUGCCACCAUCAUCAAAUAUUAGAAACAGAAAAUAAUUACUGCUAUAGUUGCUGUUUUUACUGGUCACAGAUAUACUGGACAGAUGAAUUUUAUUAUUCUAUAUUAUCACCAUUUAUAUAUGUUUUCUGAACAACGAGAGAAUCAGUAGUAGAAACCUAAUAAAUUUUUGGUUGCUCCAAAUUCCUGCUACGCAUUGACAAUGCAAAUAAGAGAAGAAGUUGGGCUGAAAUUAGUGGGUGCGCCAGGCCGAGGCAAUAGUGCAAAACCAAGCCGACACUUGAAGGCAAACAGAUACUACACUUGAUCGGUAUGUGUUUCUUUGUUGACAGCCCUCUUCUCUUAUAGUACUAAUGCACUUUUACAACAUUAAUUUUUAGAGCUUUUUAGUUUAUAUACUCAAAUAAGCACAUAUGAUCUGCAGACACGUAUUAGCAGUGAUCAUACACUCAAUAACUAACAAUAAUUGACCAAAGUUCACCUUUUGCCUCAUGUGAUCUUUCUGAAUGGUAAUUAGGACUUAAAAUGUUAAGACUUAAAACUACAAAUGGAGGGGUGUGCCAAGCCGAGGCAAUAGUGCAAAGCCAAGGCGACACUCAAAAACCCAGGCAGCAAGCUACCUUGGUGGGUCUUUCCCCUUAAAAAAUUGAGUUAAUAUCGUGUGAACCAAUGGCUCACGUAUCAGAUAUUAAACUGAUAAGAACAGAUACUACACUUGAUCUUAGCCAAAAGGCCGAGAAAGGUAUGAUUUUUGUUGUUGACAGACCGCUUCUUUUAUAGUACUCAUGCACCUUUACAUGCUUUCUGCAUUAUCAAUGUGGGACUUUAGCAAAUGGUGGGACAACAUUAUUUUGUAAUGCUUAUUAGUUUAUAUACUCUACCUAAGCACAUAUGAUCCAUAUACAUAUUAGUCUGCAGGAAAAAGAAAAAGAAGUUGAAACAAAAUGUUGACUAGUUUUGGAAUCUAUGUCUAUGACUACACACAUAUAAGACUCGUUCUCCCUUCUUGAUUUCUAGCAGUGAUUAUACAAAACAUGUAUUACUUAAACUAUAGAAAAUAAAAUGAUAGACUAGAAUUGGUGAGGUGUGCCAGGCCAAGGCAAUAGUGCAAAACCAAGGCGACACUCAAAGGCCCAGGCAGCAAGCUACCUUAAUGGGCCUUUCCCCUAAAAAAAUUGAGUUAAUAUCGUGUGAGCCAUUGGCUCACGUAUCAGAUAUUAAACUGAUAAGAACAGAUACUACACUUGAUCUUAGCCAAAAGGCCGAGAAAGGUAUGCUUUUUCUUGUUCACAGCCCACUUGUUUUAUAGUACUCAUGCACCUUUACAUGCUUUCUGCAUUAUCAAUGUGGGACUUGAGCAAACAGUGGACAACAUUAAAUUGUAGUACUUAUUAGUUUUUAUAUAUGUAUGUACUCUAAUAAGCACAUAUGAUUUGCAUACACAUAUUAGUCUGCAGGAAAAACAGAAAAAGAAUAUGAAUUAGUCCUCAAAAGAAAAUGUUUGUAAUCAAUAAUGGGCUAUGCUGCAAUGCUAUUAUGACUAGUUUCAAGAAUCUGUGAUUCUUCUAUGACCUAACACACAUAAGAUUUCUUUUCCCUUCUUGAUUUCUAACAGUUAUCAUACACUCUAUAACUAACUUUCGUCUCUUUUCUCAUUGGUAAUUAGGACCAAUAACAACAUAUAACCAAACAUGUACUAUAACCUACACAUCUAAAAUAUUAGACUAAAAUUGGUGGGGUGUACCAGGCCAAGGCAAUAGUGCAAAACCAAGACGACACUCAAAGACCCAAGCAGCAAGCUACCUUUGUGGAUCUUUCCCCUAAAAAAAUUGAGUUAAUAUCGUGUGAGCCAAUGGCUCACGUAUCAGAUAUUAAACUGAUAAGAACAGAUACUACACUUGAUCUUAGCCAAAAGGCCGAGAAAGGUAUGCUUUACAUUGUUGACAGUCCAUUUCUUUUAUAGUACUCAUGCACCUUUACAUGCUUUCUACAUUCUCAAUGUGGGACUUGAUCAAACAGUGGGAUAACAUGAAGUUGUAGUGCUGAUUGCUAUAAUAAGUUAAGAAAGUUAUUAGAAAAUAGUUAAGCCAAGUCUUGGAAGCUAUGCAUCAAAAUCUUGAAGAUGACAGCCAACUUCUUUGCGUUUGCAUUUGCAACCAGAAAAAGAAAGUUUCUUUUUAAACCCCUCCACCAGGAAUGAAAAAUGCGUGAUAUAAAAAUCGGUAAUGCUAUUAUAACUUACUUCUGAAUCUAUGUUAUUCCUUUACCUAUGAGUAUGCAAAUAAUUUUUAUUUUUUUUCCCAUUCUUGAUUUAUAGCAGUGCUUAAAUAGUCUUUUUGGUGACAGAUACCAAUAAUACGGAGUAGUUUCUGAAACAACAGCUCGCAGUUUGCUGGAUAUUACGUACUUGGAUGAAGAACUCAGGGCAAGCCAGGCCAAGGUAAUAGUGCAAUACCAAGGCGACUCGAGAAGGCCCAAGUAGCAAGCUACCUUAAUGAGCCUUCCCCUUGAAAAAUUAAGUUAAUAUCAUGUGAGCCAAUGGCUCACAUAUCAGAUAUUAAACUGAUAAGAACAGAUACUACACUUGAUCUUAGCCAAAAGGCCGAGAAAGGUAUGCUUUUUGCUGUUGACAGCCCGCUUCUUUUAUGUUGCUAAUGCCCCUUCACAUUCUCCUAAAAGACUCAAUGUGGGAACAUUUCAACAAUCUGGGAAAUAGUACUCUGAUCACUCUGAUGAUAUGCAGAUGCUUUAUGUUUUAAUAUAUGCAAGUCUGAAACACUGUAGUUUAUUCUUAUGAAAUGCCCUUAUCUUCAGAAAUUAGGGCUUGUUGUUUUUGCUGCUCUUAAUAUACCAGAAAUACCUUAGACUAAAAUUCAUUUUAUUAUAUUGUAAGUUCAUUUUUA
Long non-coding RNA from Ipomoea triloba (trilobed morning glory), 4762 nucleotides. RefSeq lists it as uncharacterized. The transcript is spliced from 5 exons. The record is from RefSeq and is a predicted model, not a curated record. NCBI's taxonomy places the organism in Eukaryota, Viridiplantae, Streptophyta, Magnoliopsida, Solanales, Convolvulaceae.